GCCCAGAGUGAGGUGGGUCCGAGCGGCCCUGUACAGGCGCCCGUCAAGCUGGACGUGGAGACAAAUG
RNAcentral lists this non-coding RNA (67 nucleotides) under uncultured alveolate. The record is from RNAcentral.